Dermacentor silvarum is the source of this 321-nucleotide long non-coding RNA. RefSeq lists it as uncharacterized. Lineage: Eukaryota; Metazoa; Arthropoda; Arachnida; Ixodida; Ixodidae. The record is from RefSeq and is a predicted model, not a curated record. The transcript is spliced from 3 exons.
GAGUCGUUUUACCUGUUUCGGAUGUCAUACUACUGGAGCAGCUUCUUUUGUGUUUUUGCAACAGUUGCCAUUGGCGUGUUGGUAAGCGCCUUGACAGGAGAAAUGUGGAGUGAAAACGAGAAACCGGAGUUGUGCAGUGAUUUGCUCGUCAGAAUAUGGCAGAAACGUACACACCUCCAAGACGAAUCGCCACUCGAGGAUAUGAAGAGAUCAAAUUUUGACGAACAAAAGUGCAUCGCAGAAGUUGAAAACUUGCUAAUGCCUAAAUCAGAGAGCCAUGUGUAGGUAAAAGUUGUGUACAUUAAAAAGGCACUGAGAAAG